Molecule: ribosomal RNA, 485 nt
Filed under: uncultured bacterium
Lineage: Bacteria
Description: partial 16S ribosomal RNA
Rfam family: Bacterial small subunit ribosomal RNA
Source: RNAcentral
AUUGAACGCUGGCGGCAGGCCUAACACAUGCAAGUCGAGCGGAUGAAGGGAGCUUGCUCCUGGAUUCAGCGGCGGACGGGUGAGUAAUGCCUAGGAAUCUGCCUGGUAGUGGGGGAUAACGUCCGGAAACGGGCGCUAAUACCGCAUACGUCCUGAGGGAGAAAGUGGGGGAUCUUCGGACCUCACGCUAUCAGAUGAGCCUAGGUCGGAUUAGCUAGUUGGUGGGGUAAAGGCCUACCAAGGCGACGAUCCGUAACUGGUCUGAGAGGAUGAUCAGUCAACAUGGAAAGUGAGCAGGGCCCAGGCCCCCACGGGGAGCCGCCAGGGGGAAUUUUGGAAAAAGGGGGAAAGCCUGUAUCCAACCUGGCGGGGGGGUGAAAGAAGUUUUUGGAUUUGAAAGCAAUUUAAUGUUGGGAGAAAGGGGAUAAAUUUAAUACCUUGUUUUUUGUAGUUACCAAAAAAAAUAAACACGGACAACCUUGGUG